UGGCGAACGGGUGGGUAACGCGUGAGGAACCUGCCUCAAAGAGGGGGACAACAGUUGGAAACGACUGCUAAUACCGCAUAAGCCCACGGGUCGGCAUCGACUUGAGGGAAAAGGAGCAAUCCGCUUUGAGAUGGCCUCGCGUCCGAUUAGCUAGUUGGUGAGGUAACGGCCCACCAAGGCGACGAUCGGUAGCCGGACUGAGAGGUUGAACGGCCACAUUGGGACUGAGACACGGCCCAG
Molecule: ribosomal RNA, 240 nt
Filed under: uncultured bacterium
Lineage: Bacteria
Description: partial 16S ribosomal RNA
Rfam family: Bacterial small subunit ribosomal RNA
Source: RNAcentral